GGGCAGCAGUCGCGAAAACUCCGCAAUACGCGAAAGCGUGACGGGGCCAUCCCGAGUGCCGUCCGCUGAGGAUGGCUUUUCCCCUGUGUAGAUAGCUGGGGGAAUAAGGAGAGGGCAAGUCUGGUGUCAGCCGCCGCGGUAAUACCAGCUCUUCGAGUGGUAGGGAUGUUUAUUGGGCCUGAAGCAUCCGUAGCUGGCUGAACAAGUCCUCCGUUAAAUCCAGCGAUUUAAUCGUUGGAUUGCGGGGGAUACUGCUCGGCUAGGGGGUGGGAGAGGCCAACGGUAUUCUCGGGGUAGGGGUGAAUCCUAUAAUCCCGGGAGUACCACCAGUGGCGAAGGCUCGUGACUAUAACACUCCCUACAGUGAAUUAUGAAAGCUGGGGGAGCGAACCGGAUUAGAUACCCGGGUAGUCC
RNAcentral lists this ribosomal RNA (414 nucleotides) under uncultured crenarchaeote. Its description in RNAcentral is "partial 16S ribosomal RNA". It matches the Rfam family "Archaeal small subunit ribosomal RNA", at positions 330 to 747 of the family's 1478-position model. The record is from RNAcentral. Lineage: Archaea; Thermoproteati; Thermoproteota.